This is a long non-coding RNA of Arabidopsis thaliana (thale cress), 270 nucleotides long. RefSeq annotates it as other RNA. The transcript has a single exon. Lineage: Eukaryota; Viridiplantae; Streptophyta; Magnoliopsida; Brassicales; Brassicaceae. The record is from RefSeq.
GGAUUUAGCAAUGCUCUCACCAACCUACCAAGAUUGCAAAAGAGAAACGGCUGUCGAGGAUUUAAAGGAUUCCUCUCGACACGUGUGCCAGAUGGUGCUCCUCUCCUCUUUAUUAUUUUUAAGUUCUUCUGAUUAUCACUUACACGUGUGCCUUCUCAUGCAAUUUUUACCACUCGUGUGUUUCCAAAUGUUUUUCACUCUUCUUCCUUCACGUAAACGCUGCCCUUAUUAACGUCUGUUAACUUUACCUCUCACGAAUCAAACACCAUU